CCUACGGGAGGCAGCAGUGGGGGAUAUUGCACAAUGGGGGGAACCCUGAUGCAGCGACGCCGCGUGGGUGAAGGAGUAGUUCGGUAUGUAAAGCCCUAUCGGCAGGGAAGAAGCAAGACGGUACCUGACUAAGAAGCCCCGGCUAACUACGUGCCAGCAGCGGCGGUAAUACGUAGGGGGCGAGCGUAAUCCGGAUUCACUGGGUGUAAAGGGAGCGUAGACGGCCAUGCAAGCCAGGGGUGAAAGCCCGGGGCCCAACCCCGGGACUGCCCUUGGAACUGCAGGGCUGGAGUGCGGGAGGGGCAGGCGGAAUUCCUGGUGUAGCGGUGAAAUGCGUAGAUAUCAGGAGGAACACCGGCGGCGAAGGCGGCCUGCUGGACCGCGACUGACGUUGAGGCUCGAAAGCGUGGGGAGCGAACAGGAUUAGAUACCCCAGUAGUC
This 441-nucleotide ribosomal RNA is filed under the name uncultured bacterium. Its description in RNAcentral is "partial 16S ribosomal RNA". It matches the Rfam family "Bacterial small subunit ribosomal RNA", at positions 338 to 795 of the family's 1533-position model. The record is from RNAcentral.